This is a long non-coding RNA of Homo sapiens (human), 5887 nucleotides long. RefSeq lists it as uncharacterized. Lineage: Eukaryota; Metazoa; Chordata; Mammalia; Primates; Hominidae. The transcript has 3 exons. The record is from RefSeq and is a predicted model, not a curated record.
UGGCAAGUUUUGGGAUAUGUAUAGCAAUCCUCAUCUUACAAAUGAAGACACUAAUUGGUGGUAGAAGUGGUUAAAUAACUUGCCCAGCCACACAGUCAUUGAGUAGAAGAACUGGAAUACAAACUCCCAACUGUCUAUUGCCCAAGUGUAAAUUCUACCACACCACACUAACUCUUCAUAGUAGUUGCCUAGGGUUGUUGUAACAAGGGAUCACAACUUGGUGGCUUACAGCAAGAGAAAUGUAUUUUCUCGUAUUUCUAGAGGCUACAAAUCUGAAAUCAAGGUGUCAGCAGUGUUGGUUUCUUCUAGAAACUCUGAGGGAGAUUCUGUCCCAUGCUUCUCUCCUAGCUUCUGGUGUUUGCAGGCAUGUUUUGGGUCACUUGUCUUCUAGACAUAUCACUUCAAUCUCUGCCUUUUAUCUUUGCCAUAUAUUAAAUAUGUACAUGGGUUUGAAAGCAUUUUUUAUUAAAAAACUCAAAUAUCUUCACAUGGUGUUUUCUCCUUUCUGUGUGUUUGUAUCUCUUCUUUUCCUAUAAGGACCACAGUUGUGUUGGGUUAGGAUCUACCCUAAUGUAAUAGACUUCAUCUUAACUUAAUCACAUCUGUAGGCCCUAUUUCCAAAUAUAGUCACAUUCAUAGGUACUGGGGGUUAGGACCAUGGCAUAGCUUUUGGGGGAACACAGUUCAACUCAUGACAUUAUUUAAAUCUGAUCCAUGUUGUAUUCUUUAAAUUUCUGGUUAAAUAGAAAAAGUGUCUUUGAGACCCAGAAUCUGGCAUGUAAUAGGUGCUCAGUAAAUUCAUGAUGAGUAAUGCUCCCAUUAACACAUCUUCACUCAAUAGAAGCUUGAAUUUAACCCCACAUGUCUUGUGAAUCUAUAACUGCAAAGGAAAAUUAGAGGAUUUUUUGUUGAUAGAAAAAUUAACUUGUAUGCCUGUAAUUUGAUACCAUUGCAUCACAGUACUUAUUUCAAAAUUAACAAUUUCAGAUGAGACUGUGCCCAUAUAGAUCUUAUAGAGAACAAACAGCUAAAUGUGUCAUUGAACUGUUACAAAAGUGAUGAUCCUAUAAAGAAGAAAUGCAACACAUUGGUUUUAAAAAAUUAAGUUGCAGGGCACAAUUUUUUUUUCUAAUUGAAAAAUUAACUUUGACUUGAGAGAAUAUAACAAAUUAAAUAUAUACAUGAAAAUGAAAAUAUUCUCUAUUGAAUACCUCAGAAAAGCUUAUUACACUUAAAUGCAUUCCGUGAAAUGUAUCUCCUGGCAUAUUUUUGAUGAUUUAUAACAUAUUGAAGUGUUAUGUCUUCAUCAAUGCCUUCUACUUGCUAAUUUUUUGUGCAAUUAAAUAUUUAUCUGUAAUUUGUUUUUCUUUAAAGAUUGAUUGGGGCUUCAAAUAAAAUACAAUAAUUAGCAACGUGAAUAAAAAUGCUUGUUGGAUUUCUGACAUCCUGAAAUAUAUCAAAAUAAAGAGAAUGGAAGAAAAUAAGUGUCUACAGAAUAUCUACUGUUAAGUAGAAAGGAUUAUGGAUUCAAAGUAAUAUACAGUACUCCCCAAAUCACACUGAUCUAACUUUGUAACUCUAAAAAUUCAAGGGGUUGAAACUGAUAAUCAUUAAGGUGUUUUUCAGCUUAAUCAUUGCGUGAUUAAAGUUUAAUUAUUCUAAUCAAAGGCCAUGGUAUUUGUCUCAUUGGUAUUAUUUUCUUUGAGAGACCAAGGGGGACUAGAGGAAAUAGAUAAGUAGAUUAUGGAAGGCCUUCAAAGAAGGAGAGAAAGAAUAGAUGUAGCCAUCAACUACAGACAGGAGGAUACAGAAUAUUUGGAGUUCUCAGUAGUCUGCUCAAGAUCCAACAAGGCAGGCACUACCUCAAAUGACACAGAAAACUUGUUCGUUGUGAUUUUGUUUUAAACAUACUACACAACAGAUGUGCCAUCAUCCUUUUUUUUGGUCAGACUUCUAAAUAAAGAAAUAAAAUAGAUUGUUUUUUACUUUAUUAUCUCAAUUUCAAUAACCUUAAUUUCCUAAUUAGGAAAUUAAAGUUCUAAUCAUAUCAGAGUAGAAGGUUGCUUUCUGUGUUUGAGAUGGAAUUCACGAAACCAUUUCUCCUCCUUGCUACAGCUUCUAAGGAACAAUCAUGCCCAGUGUAAACUUCAUUGUAACACGAAGGUCACCAUUGCGUCCCCUGGAAAGGGGAUGUCGAACAAUGAGGUUUUGUCUAAAUAAUCUAAGACAUUUGUUUGAAAGUCUCUGAAAUCUAUGGGUGCAUGGAUGAUCCCUCUGAUGUUGUAUUCAUAGAAAUGGUAAACAUAUAUGAGCAGCGCCCUCUUCAAGGUUUUAGCUUGUCAAUGAUUGGUUUAGAUUGCACUGAAUUCAUCAAAAUCACUAGUUAAAAGUAUAACACAAUGAGCCAUCCCAACUCUGGAAAUAUUUGAUUAAAUGACUGUGCUCAUAUUUCAUUAGAUGAUUAAUUGUGUGAAUGCCUGAGAGUGCCAAAGAAAACAGGAAUUGGGGAAUUUGUCAGUAACUUAGCCACUCUGAGCCUGUGCUUUCCCAUAUUACAAUAUGGGGAGACUCAAAUGAUAAUACUAUACUGUGAAAUCAGUCUCAGAAAUAGUUAUUCAUCAAUAAAGCUAGCUCUCUCAGAUCUAUUCCAAUUAUUCUUCAUUGCACCAAAUGGUGCCGUAAUGUGAAAUGUUUCACUCAUUAUUCUUAAUACAGUAGAGACAAUAAAAUCAGUAUGACUUUAAUCAUAGGUGUAUCAUAGUUUUCCAGCAAUCUGUCUUUCUAGUUUAUAGCAUUUAAUUCAUUUCCUACCAGUGCUGAUUUGGGCGAUACAGUAAGUCUAACAGACUACGCUUUCUAGAGAACAUAGCGUUGAAUGCAUGGACUCAGAAAGCAUACUUGAGUUUUGUAGUCUCCAAAAGGAGUCACAAUCCUGCACAUUACAACCUAGUGUUGUCAAAUUCCAAACAGACAUUUAUCUUCAGGAUUCAUGAAUAAUAAACCAAAAUUAUCAAGAAUCCUCAGAAAUUCCUAAAGUUCUAAGAUAUUCUAUAUUUUCAUAAUUUAUCUGCAGAUUUUAAAAUGCAAAACUAUACAUUUAUUAUUGUAUAUUUCAUUUAAAAAACUCUAAAGCUUUAUAUAACCCAUAGAAGAAUGAUUUCUUAUUAUUGUCACUUCUUAUAUUUUUAAAAUAUAUAAUCUUGGCUUAUAGCAAAUAUUCAAGACAGGAAAACACCAGCAAACAUCAUUUUGAUAUAUUCAGAUCUCCUAGCAUCAUUAAGAAUACCACACACACUCGUGUCAAAAUUGCCAACUGAAGAACUUAUUUUGCUUUCAAAACUUAUUUACUGGAACAUCACUCAUAGAAUUUCUAUAAUAAAUAUAAUGCAUAUAAACUUAUUAGUAUCUAUUUUAUUUGCAAGAAUGACUCAUUGUUUCCAGCAGACAGGCCCAUAAACACAUACUUAUAGCACCAGUUAUAAGCAAGAGCAAUUGAUUAUAUUAUGACCAGUUCUCUCUUAGGCACUCCUGUCCUCACUACCAGAAAUGUCCACAUUAUCCUUCCAUUCCUCAUGUCUUGUUUCUUGCUUUUGCAUUUGAUAUGAUAUCAGCAGAUUACUUUGAAUCAGUAAGAUCUCUAUGCUGAUUGUUAUACUUUAAAUCUCACAGAAUUAUAAUACUUUUCCCUGUUUUCCUGACUCCUUGACUAAUUUUUCUCAGGAUAUGGAAAGUCACAUAAAUUUUCAGAGAAAUGCCAGGCUAGAAUUUCUAUACAGUUACACUGAUUAUCAGAGCAACCAAAUCCCUGGUUUGACCAGUUGUACUUUAUGGUCCACAGUAGAUUGUUAAUUUCAUUAAAAGAAUAUCUUCCUUCAUUGGAGUUAAAUAUUUGAAUAUUCCCCUAUGUCAAAACUCUGGGACCCUGAGGAUACUAUUAGUAAAUAUAUUUUGAGUCAGCUAGAAUAGGUUUAUAUCCCCUCUAUAACAAUAAAUAGAAAUCAUGUUUUAUCAGUACUUAACUAUCCAGCACAGUGUAUGAUAAUAAUUGAGUGUGCCAGCUCUGGAACCAGAAACCUUUGACUCAAAUUCCAAUAAUACCAUUGAUCACUUAUCAAAUCUUUGGGCCGUUACUUCACUGAGUAAAGUAAACUUUAGUUUCCUCAUCUGUAAAGUAAACUUUAGUUUCUUCAUCUGUAAAAAGAGGACAAUAAAUAUUAUUUGCUUCUCAGAGAUUUUAUUUUUCAGAUCAUUUUAUAAGGUAAUGGAAUAGCUAGACUUGGCUCCCUCUGCAGGGAUAAUCGCCAUCUUAAAAUUGUUAUGCAAUCUUCCCAAGCAUUUUCUUUCUGUUUACUAUGUGGUUGUAGCCACAAAAGACAUUUUGCAACCUAUAACAUAUUAGAUCAAUGUUAUCUUGUAUUAGAUAUCAUUUGGCAGCUUGCUUUUCCUACUCAAAAUUAUUAUUUCUUGUAUUUAUCAAACUUGACAAAUGUAGAUUCCAUUUAUUCUUUUUUAGUUGUUAUAUAGUAUUUCCUUGUUUGGAUAUAACCCAGCUCCUAUGUAUCGUCUUUGGCGUGCAUGUGCAAGUAUUCAUUUAGCACACAGACUAGAAAUCAAACCGCUGGUUGCCAGGUAACAUGAAUCAUCACAUUUACUGUUUAUUAGCAAAUUGCUUGCAGCGUUCCAUUUACAUGUAUUCUUACCAAUGUGUGAUAUUUUUUGCUAAUUUUUUUCCCAACUUGAUGGGUAUGAAAUGACAUCUCAUUGCUGUUUCAGUUUUCAUUAUCUGAUUACUGACAGGGUUAAGCAGUUUUUCAUAGGUUUAUUGGUGAUUCCAGUUUUCUCCUCUGGGGGUUGUUGAUAGGCUUUUGUCAUUUUUCUGUUUUUCUUAAUUGUAUCUAGGAAUUCUUUACACAGAGAUGCCACAAAGUUUAACUUUGGCCUCAGUACUCAGGAAAAGAUAUACUUGGUUUCAGCCUUGGCUUCAGGCUUUGAAAGACAGAGUAACAAAUAGCUACUUCUUUUCUGGCCCCUUCAUCAUCUGCUUGUUCAAUGGAGGUAGGACCACUCAAAUUACGAACAAGGUGUAGCCCUCGAAUUGGCUAUUAACAUCUGAAUACAUACUAAGUAUUCAUUUUCAAACUUAGGAGAGCAGUCUAGAUGUAACUUGGAAUAAAAACCUCCAUGGGCUUCUACAGGCUGUUAAAAUAUAAGCAUAUUUAUGUGUUUCAAUAAUAAAAUGUUGAAAUAUGCUGAUUUUGAAAGCUGUUAAUUUGCUGUACAAAAAUUAUUAAGAACUUUCAAACAGUUAAACAAUGUUAGCAGUUAUUAGGAAUAAGAGAGAGUGCAUUAGAUAGAUAACACUAACAAGAACAUAAUAUCCGUUUUCAGCCAGCAAAUGUUUAUAAAAUUUUAAAUGCUAAUAAAACAGGAGAAUAAUAGAAAUUAGAUUAUAUCACAAUGCUAAUCUUUAGAAGCAUUAAGAGCUAUAUUUAAUUUUUUGUUAUUUAAUUCAGCUUAGGCCAGAGUCUUUCAAGAAAAAAAGUCUUAUUAGAGAAGUCUUCAUAUCUCGUGAGGAUGAAUUAAAAGCAGAAUCUCAACUUUGCUACCUUUAAAUGUCACGGAGAGAAAAAACUGCAAAACCAUGUGCAACAAUAUCCAUGAUAAAUCAUCUUUGAUCUCAACAUAACGGAGACUAUAAGGAGUAUAAAGACUAGAAGAAAGAGUAGAAGGUGAUCCACAAUCAAUUCAGAACCUGGUCUUCUAUGGUGGCUCACAGUUCCUGCACCCUACAAUAUCGUGCACCUCUCUCUAAAUCUACUGAAACGUGCAGCCUUCUUUUGGAAGAGAAAGAUUCUGAUAUUCAUUAACAAUUAAAUGAAUCUUCAAG